This 23-nucleotide small nuclear RNA is filed under the name Arabidopsis thaliana (thale cress). RNAcentral describes it as "snRNA_15201". The record is from RNAcentral. Lineage: Eukaryota; Viridiplantae; Streptophyta; Magnoliopsida; Brassicales; Brassicaceae.
UGAAGAGAAACCAGAGACAUAAU